Molecule: long non-coding RNA, 589 nt
Organism: Cornus florida
Lineage: Eukaryota; Viridiplantae; Streptophyta; Magnoliopsida; Cornales; Cornaceae
Exons: 3
Source: RefSeq, a predicted model, not a curated record
AUAUGUGAGUGUAACGUCACUAUUUCAAGACCAUUUUCCUUUUCUAAAACUCCUCUUUCUCAUCGACGUCUUCAAACGCCCAAACCUUCCUAUCGUACAAAUCUGUCAGCUUCAAACCCCUCAAAUCCUUCCUCUCGCCAACCGAUCGACUAGCCAAAUCUGCCCCCUCUGUGAGUCCAAAUUUUUUCAGUUUUCUCAACUUAUCUAGCGUCCGCAUCGUCUUCAUCCUGCCGUCGUUGACAUUGAUCCAGCCAAGGUCAUGCCGUCUUCGUCCGAUUGAGGAUUCAAGAUGUUAAAGUCCCACAGAAUGGCCAAACCCGAGAACAGUUCUUAUACUUGAUGAAAUGUGAAAAUGUGUGCCAAUCUAGGAUGGUUUAGCUGUUCGUCUUGAGGUUUCACAUUGAUUGCAAUCUAGCUCCCCUUAUGGAUUCAGAAUUCUUUUGGCAUUUUGAUAUGUAUGCGAUUAGCAUUGUGUAAUAUUAGAUUCAGAUAUUAGCAUUUUGAUAUAUGUUGGAAUUAUCAUUUUAGAUUUUGGAUGAUUUGCACAUUUUAAUUUCUAAAUUCUUAAUGGAAUGUGUUUUAUAUUCUA